RNAcentral lists this ribosomal RNA (447 nucleotides) under uncultured bacterium. RNAcentral describes it as "bacterial SSU rRNA". It matches the Rfam family "Bacterial small subunit ribosomal RNA", at positions 329 to 794 of the family's 1533-position model. The record is from RNAcentral.
AGCCAGACUCCUACGGGAGGCAGCAGUGGGGAAUAUUGCACAAUGGGGGAAACCCUGAUGCAGCGACGCCGCGUGAGUGAAGAAGUAAUUCGUUAUGUAAAGCUCUCUCAGCAGGGAAGAAAAUGACGGUACCUGAGUAAGAAGCCCCGGCUAACUACGUGCCAGCAGCCGCGGUAAUACGUAGGGGGCAAGCGUUAUCCGGAUUUAUUGGGUUUAAAGGGUGCGUAGGCGGUCUGUUAAGUCAGCGGUAAAAUUGCGGGGCUCAACCCCGUCGAGCCGUUGAAACUGGCAGACUUGAGUUGGCGAGAAGUACGCGGAAUGCGCGGUGUAGCGGUGAAAUGCAUAGAUAUCGCGCAGAACUCCGAUUGCGAAGGCAGCAUGCCGGCUCCACACUGACGCUGAGGCACGAAAGCGUGGGUAUCGAACAGGAUUAGAUACCCGCGUACA